This 253-nucleotide ribosomal RNA is filed under the name uncultured bacterium. Its description in RNAcentral is "partial 16S ribosomal RNA". It matches the Rfam family "Bacterial small subunit ribosomal RNA", at positions 524 to 776 of the family's 1533-position model. The record is from RNAcentral.
UACGAAGGGUGUAAGCGUUAAUCGGAAUUACUGGGCGUAAAGCGCGCGUAGGUGGUUCAGUAAGUUGGAAGUGAAAUCCCCGGGCUCAACCUGGGAACUGCUUUCAAAACUGCUGAGCUAGAGUACGGUAGAGGGUGGUGGAAUUUCCUGUGUAGCGGUGAAAUGCGUAGAUAUAGGAAGGAACACCAGUGGCGAAGGCGACCACCUGGACUGAUACUGACACUGAGGUGCGAAAGCGUGGGGAGCAAACAGG